Molecule: ribosomal RNA, 497 nt
Filed under: uncultured bacterium
Lineage: Bacteria
Description: partial 16S ribosomal RNA
Rfam family: Bacterial small subunit ribosomal RNA
Source: RNAcentral
GAUGAACGCUGGCGGCGUGCCUAAUACAUGCAAGUCGAGCGAACAGACGAGGAGCUUGCUCCUCUGACGUUAGCGGCGGACGGGUGAGUAACACGUGGAUAACCUACCUAUAAGACUGGGAUAACUUCGGGAAACCGGAGCUAAUACCGGAUAAUAUAUUGAACCGCAUGGUUCAAUAGUGAAAGACGGUUUUGCUGUCACUUAUAGAUGGAUCCGCGCCGCAUUAGCUAGUUGGUAAGGUAACGGCUUACCAAGGCAACGAUGCGUAGCCGACCUGAGAGGGUGAUCGGCCAAACUGGAACUUAGACACGGUCCAGACUCCUACGGGAGGCAGCAGUAGGGAAUCUUCCGCAAUGGGCGAAAGCCUGACGGAGCAACGCCGCGUGAGUGAUGAAGGUCUUCGGAUCGUAAAACUCUGUUAUUAGGGAAGAACAAAUGUGUAAGUAACUAUGCACGUCUUGACGGUACCUAAUCAGAAAGCCACGGCUAACUACGUG